Molecule: ribosomal RNA, 274 nt
Filed under: uncultured bacterium
Lineage: Bacteria
Description: partial 16S ribosomal RNA
Rfam family: Bacterial small subunit ribosomal RNA
Source: RNAcentral
AUACGGAGGGUCCAAGCGUUAUCCGGAUUCAUUGGGUUUAAAGGGUCCGCAGGCGGGAAAAUAAGUCAGUGGUGAAAGCCUACAGCUCAACUGUAGAACUGCCAUUGAUACUGUUUUUCUUGAGUAUAGAUGAAGUGGGCGGAAUAUAUCAUGUAGCGGUGAAAUGCAUAGAUAUGAUAUAGAACACCGAUUGCGAAGGCAGCUCCCUAAACUAUUACUGACGCUCAGGGACGAAAGCGUGGGGAGCGAACAGGAUUAGAAACCCUAGUAGUCC